GAGGGUAUAGCUCAGUGGUAGAGCACAUGCUUACAUGCACGAGGUCCUGGGUUCAAUCCCCAGUACCUCUA
RNAcentral lists this transfer RNA (71 nucleotides) under Camelus bactrianus (Bactrian camel). It matches the Rfam family "tRNA". Rfam says of the family: Transfer RNA (tRNA) molecules are approximately 80 nucleotides in length. The record is from Rfam by way of RNAcentral. Lineage: Eukaryota; Metazoa; Chordata; Mammalia; Artiodactyla; Camelidae. RNAcentral also lists the same sequence under 2 other names.